UGGGCAACCUGCCCCUAGCUCUGGGAUAACUGCGGGAAACUGUAGCUAAUACCGGAUGUGACACGAGGCUGCAUGGUCUUCGUGUGGAAAGAUUUAUCGGCUAGGGAUGGGCCCGCGGUCUAUCAGCUUGUUGGUGGGGUAAUGGCUCACCAAGGCGACGACGGAUAACCGGCCUGAGAGGGCGACCGGCACACUGGGACUGAGACACGCACGACUACCUACCGGGUAACGGGGA
Molecule: ribosomal RNA, 235 nt
Filed under: uncultured bacterium
Lineage: Bacteria
Description: partial 16S ribosomal RNA
Rfam family: Bacterial small subunit ribosomal RNA
Source: RNAcentral